UACGUAGGGUGCGAGCGUUAAUCGGAAUUACUGGGCGUAAAGUGUGCGCAGGCGGCAAGGCAAGUCGAGUGUGAAAGCCCCGGGCUUAACUUGGGAAUUGCGCUCGAAACUACUUUGCUGGAGUGUGGCAGAGGAAGGUGGAAUUCCACGUGUAGCGGUGAAAUGCGUAGAGAUGUGGAGGAACACCAAUGGCGAAGGCAGCCUUCUGGGCCAACACUGACACUGAGGAGCGAAAGCCAGGGGAGCAAACGGG
This 253-nucleotide ribosomal RNA is filed under the name uncultured bacterium. RNAcentral's name for it is "partial 16S ribosomal RNA". It matches the Rfam family "Bacterial small subunit ribosomal RNA", at positions 524 to 776 of the family's 1533-position model. The record is from RNAcentral.